CCUACGGGUGGCAGCAGUGGGGAAUAUUGGGCAAUGGGCGAAAGCCUGACCCAGCAACGCCGCGUGAAGGAAGACGGCUUUCGGGUUGUUAACUUCUUUUGACAGGGAAGAGCAGAUGACGGUACCUAUCGAAUAAGCCACGGCUAACUACGUGCCAGCAGCCGGGGUAAUACGUAGGUGGCAGGCGUUGUCCGGAUUUACUGGGUGUAAAGGGCGUGUAGCCGGGCUGGCAAGUCAGGUGUGAAAUCCGGGGGGUCAACCCCCGAACUGCAUUUGAAACUGGUGGUCUUGAGUAGCGGAGAGGCAGGCGGAAUACCUAGUGUAGCGGUGAAAUGCGUAGAUAUUAGGAGGAACACCAGUGGCGAAGGCGGCCUGCUGGACGACAACUGACGGUGAGGCGCGAAAGCGUGGGGAGCAAACAGGAUUAGAUACCCGUGUAGUC
This 442-nucleotide ribosomal RNA is filed under the name uncultured bacterium. RNAcentral's name for it is "partial 16S ribosomal RNA". It matches the Rfam family "Bacterial small subunit ribosomal RNA", at positions 338 to 795 of the family's 1533-position model. The record is from RNAcentral.